AUUGAACGCUGGCGGCAUGCCUUACACAUGCAAGUCGAACGGCAGCACGGGAGCAAUCCUGGUGGCGAGUGGCGAACGGGUGAGUAAUGUAUCGGAACGUGCCCAGUCGUGGGGGAUAACGUAGCGAAAGCUACGCUAAUACCGCAUACGAUCUAUGGAUGAAAGCGGGGGACCGUAAGGCCUCGCGCGAUUGGAGCGGCCGAUGUCAGAUUAGGUAGUUGGUGAGGUAAAGGCUCACCAAGCCGACGAUCUGUAGCUGGUCUGAGAGGACGACCAGCCACACUGGGACUGAGACACGGCCCAGACUCCUACGGGAGGCAGCAGUGGGGAAUUUUGGACAAUGGGCGCAAGCCUGAUCCAGCCAUUCCGCGUGCAGGAUGAAGGCCUUCGGGUUGUAAACUGCUUUUGUACGGAACGAAAAGGUUUGGCCUAAUAAGCUGAGCUCAUGACGGUACCGCAAGAAUAAGCACCGGCUAACUACGUGCCAGCAGCCGCAGUAA
RNAcentral lists this ribosomal RNA (500 nucleotides) under uncultured bacterium. Its description in RNAcentral is "partial 16S ribosomal RNA". It matches the Rfam family "Bacterial small subunit ribosomal RNA", at positions 30 to 523 of the family's 1533-position model. The record is from RNAcentral.